GGAUGCGAUCAUACCAGCACUAAAGCACCGGAUCCCAUCAGAACUCCGAAGUUAAGCGUGCUUGGGCAAGAGUAGUACUAGGAUGGGUGACCUCUUGGGAAGUCCUCGUGUUGCAUUCC
RNAcentral lists this ribosomal RNA (119 nucleotides) under Triticum dicoccoides. Lineage: Eukaryota; Viridiplantae; Streptophyta; Magnoliopsida; Poales; Poaceae. The record is from RNAcentral.